Molecule: ribosomal RNA, 241 nt
Filed under: uncultured bacterium
Lineage: Bacteria
Description: partial 16S ribosomal RNA
Rfam family: Bacterial small subunit ribosomal RNA
Source: RNAcentral
CCGGCGCGCGGGUGAGUAACACGUAUCCAACCUGCCGUCUACUCUUGGCCAGCCUUCUGAAAGGAAGAUUAAUCCAGGAUGGGAUCAUGAGUUCACAUGUCCGCAUGAUUAAAGGUAUUUUCCGGUAGACGAUGGGGAUGCGUUCCAUUAGAUAGUAGGCGGGGUAACGGCCCACCUAGUCUUCGAUGGAUAGGGGUUCUGAGAGGAAGGUCCCCCACAUUGGAACUGAGACACGGUCCAA